CCUACGGGAGGCAGCAGUGGGGAAUUUUGGACAAUGGGCGCAAGCCUGAUCCAGCUAUUCCGCGUGUGGGAUGACGGCCCUCGGGUUGUAAACCACUUUAGUAGAGAACGAAAAGGAGCUAUCGAAUAAAUAGCUCUGCUGACGGUACUCUAAGAAAAAGCAUCGGCUAACUCCGUGCCAGCAGCCGCGGUAAUACGGAGGAUGCGAGCGUUAUCCGGAUUUAUUGGGUUUAAAGGGUGCGUAGGCGGAAUAUUAAGUCAGCGGUAAAAAUUCGGGGCUCAACCCCGUCGUGCCGUUGAAACUGAUGUUCUUGAGUGGGCGAGAAGUAUGCGGAAUGCGUGGUGUAGCGGUGAAAUGCAUAGAUAUCACGCAGAACUCCGAUUGCGAAGGCAGCAUACCGGCGCCCAACUGACGCUGAAGCACGAAAGCGUGGGUAUCGAACAGGAUUAGAUACCCGGGUAGUC
RNAcentral lists this ribosomal RNA (464 nucleotides) under uncultured bacterium. RNAcentral describes it as "partial 16S ribosomal RNA". It matches the Rfam family "Bacterial small subunit ribosomal RNA", at positions 338 to 795 of the family's 1533-position model. The record is from RNAcentral.